CGUGGCUCUCCGUAUUAGCGC
RNAcentral lists this non-coding RNA (21 nucleotides) under Arabidopsis thaliana (thale cress). Lineage: Eukaryota; Viridiplantae; Streptophyta; Magnoliopsida; Brassicales; Brassicaceae. The record is from RNAcentral.